This 251-nucleotide ribosomal RNA is filed under the name uncultured bacterium. Its description in RNAcentral is "partial 16S ribosomal RNA". It matches the Rfam family "Bacterial small subunit ribosomal RNA", at positions 524 to 776 of the family's 1533-position model. The record is from RNAcentral.
UACGUAGGUCCCGAGCGUUGUCCGGAUUUAUUGGGCGUAAAGCGAGCGCAGGUGGUUUAUUAAGUCUGGUGUAAAAGGCAGUGGCUCAACCAUUGUAUGCAUUGGAAACUGGUAGACUUGAGUGCAGGAGAGGAGAGUGGAAUUCCAUGUGUAGCGGUGAAUGCGUAGAUAUAUGGAGGAACACCGGUGGCGAAAGCGACUCUCUGGCCUGUAACUGACACUGAGGCUCGAAAGCGUGGGGAGCAAACAGG